GAUGAACGCUGGCGGCGUGCCUAAUACAUGCAAGUCGAGCGAACAGACGAGGAGCUUGCUCCUCUGACGUUAGCGGCGGACGGGUGAGUAACACGUGGAUAACCUACCUAUAAGACUGGGAUAACUUCGGGAAACCGGAGCUAAUACCGGAUAAUAUAUUGAACCGCAUGGUUCAAUAGUGAAAGACGGUUUUGCUGUCACUUAUAGAUGGAUCCGCGCCGCAUUAGCGAGUUGGUAAGGUAACGGCGUACCAAGGCAACGAUGCGUAGCCGACCUGAGAGGGUGAUCGGCCACACUGGAACUGAGACACGGUCCAGACUCCUACGGGAGGCAGCAGUAGGGAAUCUUCCGCAAUGGGCGAAAGCCUGACGGAGCAACGCCGCGUGAGUGAUGAAGGUCUUCGGAUCGUAAAACUCUGUUAUUAGGGAAGAACAAAUGUGUAAGUAACUAUGCACGUCUUGACGGUACCUAAUCAGAAAGCCACGGCUAACUACGUG
This 497-nucleotide ribosomal RNA is filed under the name uncultured bacterium. RNAcentral's name for it is "partial 16S ribosomal RNA". It matches the Rfam family "Bacterial small subunit ribosomal RNA", at positions 28 to 507 of the family's 1533-position model. The record is from RNAcentral.